UUUAAAAUAAACGAUGUAACGAGAUCGAUACGGUUUUUGAAUGGAGAAUGGGAAUAUUGAGUCCCUUGAAUCCUCUCAAUUCAAUUGCAUCAGUUCCUGACUCGAAUUUCGAAGGUAUCUCGAGUCAUAUCUCUCUAGAGGAAUAGAAAGGGACCAGAGUACGCUUCUAGGUAUUUCUCAGGAUAGAUCCUCCACAUGAAAAGCCGUACUUUCAGUGUUUCUGCAACAACAGGAGUGAGACCCGAAGGGUCGUGUCGGUGUUUCUACUUCCGUCACUACGACGACUGCCUUGUAUUCACCGAUCCUUGGUGGACAAAGCUGCUUCGUAGACCAAGAGAACCUGGGGAUUUCACGCUAACCAAAAUUCAAGCUAAAUAUUCUCAUCUUGUGGAGAGACUAUUGUCACUUUAAUUUAAAUUUGUCCCUUAAUUUCCUACCUCAAUCUCGCUAACCUUACCUUCUACAUUUAAUCUCAACAAAUAGCAGUGUAUCUUCAGGAUAACAAUUUAACUAUAGUAUAUUAUGCACCAAGGGGAAGAAGUGAGACUUUUUCAAAGA
Belonocnema kinseyi is the source of this 558-nucleotide long non-coding RNA. RefSeq lists it as uncharacterized. The transcript is spliced from 3 exons. NCBI's taxonomy places the organism in Eukaryota, Metazoa, Arthropoda, Insecta, Hymenoptera, Cynipidae. The record is from RefSeq and is a predicted model, not a curated record.